Molecule: long non-coding RNA, 1293 nt
Organism: Passer domesticus (house sparrow)
Lineage: Eukaryota; Metazoa; Chordata; Aves; Passeriformes; Passeridae
Exons: 3
Source: RefSeq, a predicted model, not a curated record
GCUGUGCAGCGCUCAGGUGUGCGGCUGCCGCGCAGCCAGCAGACCUGGCAGGGAGCUCCACUUCUCAGGCCGGCGUCUGCAUCGACACGGAGGUGUGAGGGCAGUGCAAACACGCUGCUUUUCCUCCUAGUGCUGGCUAAAAAUGUCCUCCAGCUGAGCUUCUCCUUCAGGCCUUGUUUCAGGUGUCGCAGGGGCCCAGGUGGGGCUGCCGUGCCGAGGCUCACCUGAGGGGCAGCCUGGCUUUGCAGGAGGGAAGAGCUUGCCGAUCUUUCUUGACAGAUGUGGUCUUAAGACUGUGAAUGGUCAUUGAUUUUUAAUUUUUUUUAUCUUGAAAAGGCUGAAUUAUUGCUUGGUUUAUUUUUAAGUAAACUCUUCUUCAUGUGGUCAAGCUGAUGGCCUGAGAAAAAGCAAGAGGAAAAUGCGCGCAGCACCCAAUGCCCAAGGACAGCCCAGGGUUUUCUCAAGGCCUGCAGUGCUGGGGAGAGCUCUCCCAUCCCUCUGGUGCUUUUCCCUAGUUUCCUGACUGCAAUUCAGACAUCUGCACUAAAAGGGAAAAGCUGGUCUUCCCCUGAUGUGAGGUUGGCUGACUUCCUGGGAAUAGAUGGAGCUCGUGGGAACUACAGCCUUGGACUGAGAGAAGCAGAAGUUAUGUACUCCACAUUGCUCUCUGACACAGUGCAUGGAGCCUCACAUGGUGAAUGUGUUCCCCACCGUUGCAUGCCAAUUUUCUGGCUGUCAUUCCAGAAAGUCCUCUGCAUGUUUUUCCACAGAAGAGAUGGCAAAAAAAAAAAAAAAAAAAAAAGGUGUUUAGUACAGCAUGCAAGGAUUUGUGACCCCUGUGUUGUGGUUGUUGGGUGCUUAUGAUUGUUGGCGACAUCUCUUGAUCUUGCCUAGUGCCUCCAAAGCAUGGGAUUGAAACAGAUGAUAAUCUGUUAGAGGGUAAUGAACACAUUCUGUCUAGGGGUUUUCACCUUUUCUCCACACUGCCACUGCACAGUGCCCUAGAUUCCCUUUGUGUCAGGGGAUACUUUGGGUUCUCUUUCCUUUGAACCACCUUGUAGUAAGUUUCUCUCUGUGCAGAGGCUCACCCUUGUGCAGAAGCCCAGGUACAGGAAAUCUCUUUGCUCCAAACUGUGACCCUCAUGUAGAAGGAUAACUGUACAGUGGAGGUUGCUACUGGGCCUUUGCCAUUUUUCAAAUAGGAGGGUACAUUAUUUCAUUCAAUCAGUAAUCCAGGCAUAAAUUUUAAUCUUUCCUGUCUGGAAUUUUAAAACAACAUGACCCAAAUCCUCA